This 198-nucleotide ribosomal RNA is filed under the name Triticum aestivum (bread wheat). RNAcentral's name for it is "partial small subunit ribosomal RNA". The record is from RNAcentral. Lineage: Eukaryota; Viridiplantae; Streptophyta; Magnoliopsida; Poales; Poaceae.
AUGCCUUUUCGGGAAAUAAAAGGGCCGGCGAGGGAAAAGCUGAAGCUAGGUGUUAAAGAUUAUAAAUUGACUUACUACACCCCAGAGUAUGAAACUAAGGAUACUGAUAUCUUGGCAGCAUUCCGAGUAAGUCCUCAGCCUGGGGUUCUGCCCGAAGAAGCAGGGGUGAUGAGACCAUUCUCUUCGUGGAACCUAUAG